CAGCAGCCGCGUUAAUACGAAGGGUGCAAGCGUUAAUCGGAAUUACUGGGCGUAAAGCGUGCGUAGGCGGUUUGUUAAGUCUGCUGUGAAAUCCCCGGGCUCAACCUGGGAAUGGCAGUGGAUACUGGCAAGCUAGAGUGUGUCAGAGGAUGGUGGAAUUCCCGGUGUAGCGGUGAAAUGCGUAGAGAUCGGGAGGAACAUCAGUGGCGAAGGCGGCCAUCUGGGACAACACUGACGCUGAGGCACGAAAGCGUAGGGAGCAAACAGGAUUAGAUACCCGUGUAGUCCCUGUCUCUUAUAC
Molecule: ribosomal RNA, 301 nt
Filed under: uncultured bacterium
Lineage: Bacteria
Description: partial 16S ribosomal RNA
Rfam family: Bacterial small subunit ribosomal RNA
Source: RNAcentral